AUUGAACGCUGGCGGCAGGCCUAACACAUGCAAGUCGAAUGGUAACAGGAAACAGCUUGCUGUUUCGCUGACGAGUGGCGGACGGGUGAGUAGUGUCUGGGAAACUGCCUGAUGGAGGGGGAUAACUACUGGAAACGGUAGCUAAUACCGCAUAACGUCGCAAGACCAAAGAGGGGGACCUUCGGGCCUCUUGCCAUCAGAUGUGCCCAGAUGGGAUUAGCUAGUAGGUGGGGUAACGGCUCACCUAGGCGACGAUCCCUAGCUGGUCUGAGAGGAUGACCAGCCACACUGGAACUGAGACACGGUCCAGACUCCUACGGGAGGCAGCAGUGGGGAAUAUUGCACAAUGGGCGCAAGCCUGAUGCAGCCAUGCCGCGUGUAUGAAGAAGGCCUUCGGGUUGUAAAGUACUUUCAGCGGGGAGGAAGGGAGUAAAGUUAAUACCUUUGCUCAUUGACGUUACCCGCAGAAGAAGCACCGGCUAACUCCGUG
RNAcentral lists this ribosomal RNA (490 nucleotides) under uncultured bacterium. Its description in RNAcentral is "partial 16S ribosomal RNA". It matches the Rfam family "Bacterial small subunit ribosomal RNA", at positions 30 to 507 of the family's 1533-position model. The record is from RNAcentral.